GCACCCGCGGUAAUUCCAGCUCCAAUAGCAUAUAUUAAAGUUGUUGCAGUUAAAAAGCUCAUAGUUGGAUUUCUAGAUAAGUGGGCACUUGUGCUUUGCUUGUCUACCAGUCUUAGACUGUUACUGUGAGAAAAUUAGAGUGUUUCAAGCAGGCUGUUGCAGGAAUACAUUAGCAUGGAAUAACGAAUGUGUCUGGAAUAUUGGUUAAUUCUAGAUUACGAUUAAUAGG
This 229-nucleotide ribosomal RNA is filed under the name uncultured eukaryote. RNAcentral describes it as "partial small subunit ribosomal RNA". It matches the Rfam family "Eukaryotic small subunit ribosomal RNA", at positions 570 to 876 of the family's 1831-position model. The record is from RNAcentral.